CUAAUUUGUCUAUAAAAAGAUUAUAUUACAUGUACAUUUUCAAGCUCAAGAUAUUCUAAAACACGAUUUAUUCUAUUUCUCAAGGAGAAAUGAAGAAAUCAACAGUCCUGAAGUUUUUUCUUGUCCUCCUCUUGUCACAUGCAACAUCAAUAAUAGCUCAAGAAGUUGAGGACGAGUCGGAAUUCAACUACAUUCCAGGGGAUAAAAGGGGGCCGGAGAACUGGGGAAACAUCAAAGAAGAAUGGGCGAAAUGUAACACCGGCAAAAAACAGUCACCCAUCUUCAUAUAUCCCCAGCUACCGGAAAGAAUCCCGGAGUCGGAGAGGAUCCUAAGGUUUUAUCAACCCGGUCGUACAACUCUCAAAAAUAGAGGCCACGAUGUUAAGCUUGACUGGACGAACGGAGGUGGAAGGAUUCGAAUCAAUGGCACCGAUUAUAUCCUACAACAAUGCCACUGGCACUCUCCGUCGGAGCAUGCUAUCAAUGGAAGGAGGUAUGCUUUGGAGGCACACUUUGUACAUCAAAGCUUAGACAACAAAAUCGCAGUAAUUGGAUUCCUUUACGAUUUUGGGAAUCCUGAUCCUUUCCUUUCUUCGAUUGAAGAAGAAUUAAGUUUGAUCUCAGAUAAUUCAUUGGACGAAAUAAUGGCUGGUACAGUUCAUCCAUCAGAGGUUCAAAUGGAAGGAAGUAGUUAUUAUAGAUACAUGGGCUCACUCACAACCCCUCCUUGUGAUGAAGGUAUCAUUUGGACAAUUGAAACCAAGGUAUGUGCCUAUUUAAUAUGAAAACAUUUUCGAUCGUUCCAAUAUUAACAUUUGUCAUAUAGAUAUAUUCUUUUAACUCUGCAUAUACCUUAAUUGUUUGCUCCAUAUUCUUAUUUGAAGUCAAAGUUUAUCAACUUUGACCAAUAAACUUUGACUAUAAAUUUUUGCUGAUUUAUAAGAAAAAAAUAUGGUCAAAAUUUUUAUUUUCAAAUUAUCAAACGAUAUACCCGAGCUCAAACUUGAGUACUUGUUAAUGACAAGCUAAGCUCAAAACGAACUUCUAAUGAACCAAUACUGACUUGUUAGCUAGCCAAUAUGGCUCAGCUCGGGACCACCCCUUACACUUGGGGUUAAAAAAAAUGGUGAAAUGAUCAUAAAGACUGACAAUAAAUAAAGAAAACAAAAUACUUCGUACAAUUAUAGUUGACCUAUUCUUUGUCAUUAGGAAACAAUUUGAACACAAGUUGAUU
RNA transcript from Chenopodium quinoa (quinoa), 1234 nucleotides. It is a transcript of the gene named alpha carbonic anhydrase 7-like, with no coding region annotated. The record is from RefSeq and is a predicted model, not a curated record. The transcript has 6 exons. Lineage: Eukaryota; Viridiplantae; Streptophyta; Magnoliopsida; Caryophyllales; Amaranthaceae.